AUACACGCUGGCGGCGUGCAUAACACCUGCAAGUCGAACGAUGAAACUUAGAUGAUUUCUUCGGAAUGAACUUAAGUGGAUUAGUGGCGAACGGGUGAGUAACACGUGAGUAACCUGCCUUACACAAGGGGAUAGCCUCUGGAAACGGAGAAUAAUACCCUAUAAAGUCUAAUCAGCUCCUGCUGGAAAGACCAAAGAUUUAUCGGUGUAAGAUGGACUUGCGUCUGAUUAGCUAGUUGGUGAGAUAAAAGCUCACCAAGGCGACGAUCAGUAGCCGGCUUGAGAGAGUGUACGGCCACAUUGGGACUGAGACACGGCCCAAACUCCUACGGGAGGCAGCAGUGGGGAAUUUUGCACAAUGGGGGAAACCCUGAUGCAGCGACGCCGCGUGAUUUAGAAGGCCUUCGGGUUGUAAAAAUCUUUUUUACGGGAUGAAAAUGACAGUACCGUAAGAAUAAGGUCCGGCUAAAUACGUG
RNAcentral lists this ribosomal RNA (476 nucleotides) under uncultured bacterium. RNAcentral's name for it is "partial 16S ribosomal RNA". It matches the Rfam family "Bacterial small subunit ribosomal RNA", at positions 33 to 507 of the family's 1533-position model. The record is from RNAcentral.